UGCAUCACGACCCCGUGUUGAAUCAUGGGGACCAUUAUCCUCUCCUCCUCAUCCUGUUCUCCUCUCAUCCUCCUCUCCACGACCUCAUCCUCCUCUAAAUGCCGCCUCUUUCCUCCUAAUGCCUAACCUCCUACUCUCUUCUCUCUUUCCCUUUCUUGCCACUCCACUCACUCCUUGUACCUUCCACACUCUUACUCUGUACAUCAAUAAAAUCCAUUUGGCACAUGAUUAUGCUCAGCCACAAAAUGGGAUGGAGGUGCUAUUUUUAGCCGGCUAAGGGAGGAGAGGGAGGGCAUGGGAGCGAGAGAGAGAAAGGGGGUGGGAUAAACCGUUCUUUUCGUUCUGUAGCUGUAUGUUGGUCGGAGGCACAGAGCUCUGGGGUAGCUUGGCUAGAGACAGCGAGAGGAUUGAGAGGCAACGAAAACGAGCAAACGACACCACCAGAAACACAAAUAAGACACAGGCAUGCGACCCCGCUCCAGACUCCUGGCUAAGAGGUGCCUGCCCACCAUCAGGGAGGGCUAUGAGGAGCUGGUCCAGGACAUGAACCAGGCCAACAGCCGCCACCUCCCUCCCCAUGGUCAGGUACACUCACUGUCUACCCAUGACUACUUCCUGUCCAUCUGCCAGCUCGCCCGACCAACCUUCCCCCAGGGAGAACCUGACUGUGACAUCCUCACGGUGGGCGCUCUGGCCUCCCUGAGGCCUUGCCUGAGGCUGCACAGACUGAGGGACCCUGUGCCACCCUGUCAGCCUCUGAUCUCUAAGGUCAGCCGCCACACACAGUUAGAGCAAGAGGAGAGUCAGAAUGAGUGUAGUGGCCCAGAGAGAGUGGUGGAUGUCAGUUCACGUCAGACCUCCAGUAGGGUUGUCCCCAGUGUCUCUGACCCCUUGGAGUUCCUCUACGGUCACAGGGAAGGACUCCUUUCAGCCGCCUGUCGCGCCCAUGGCUCACAGGGCUGGAUGGGUGAAGGGAGUCAGAGUGCGACCCAGCGUCGACCACAACCCCCGGUACGUGCCAACAGUUUCCCCCGCAUGUGUUCCUCACCCCUGACCCAGCGCAAAAACAGCUGCCGUGAGCUAUGGCUGGUGGACCCCACUGACCAAAAGAAGCCAAACCCUGACCCUGCUCCACCACAGACAUCCUCAUCAGACCAGCAGAAACCUGAUGCCUCCAGCUCAUUCUCAUGGAGGUUCCAGAAUGACCCAGACAGGGCACCUGCAGUCUUGUCUCAUCGCUGCAACUUCCGUACGGACUCGGGAGAGGCGAAGGUCGAGAGCCAUGCGUCCUCCAAAACACGAC
This 1303-nucleotide long non-coding RNA is filed under the name Salmo salar (Atlantic salmon). Its description in RNAcentral is "lncRNA (ENSSSAG00000105216.1, ENSSSAG00075016122.1)". The record is from RNAcentral. Lineage: Eukaryota; Metazoa; Chordata; Actinopteri; Salmoniformes; Salmonidae.